GAGUAACGCGUGAGAAACCUGCCUGGAAGUGGGGGAUAACACUCCUAACGGAGUGCUAAUACCGCAUGUGGUGCGAUGUCCGCAUGAGCGACGCACCAAAGGUGGCCUCUGUUUACAAGCUAUCGCUUCCAGAUGGUCUCGCGUCCGAUUAGCUAGUUGGCGGGGUAAUGGCCCACCAAGGCGACGAUCGGUAGCUGGUCUGAGAGGAUGGUCAGCCACACUGGGACUGAGAUACGGCCUAGACUCCUACGGGAGGCAGCAGUCGAGAGGCUUCGGCAAUGGGGGAAACCCUGACCGAGCGACGCCGCGUGGGGGAUGAAGGCCUUUGGGUCGUAAACCCCUUUCGACCGGGAAGAAAGCCACGGAACUAAUAACUCCGUGGCGUGACGGUACCGGUGGAAGAAGCUCCGGCUAACUCCGUGCCAGCAGCCGCGGUAAUACGGGGGGAGCGAACGUUGUUCGGAAUCACUGGGCGUAAAGGGCGUGUAGGCGGUUCGGUAAGUGAGGUGUGAAAGCCCCCGGCUCACCCGGGGAACUGCAUCUCAUACUGCUGGACUUGAGUGCGGGAGAGGAUGGGGGAAUUCCUGGUGUAGCGGUGAAAUGCGUAGAUAUCAGGAGGAACACCGGUGGCGAAGGCGCCCAUCUGGCCCGUUACUGACGCUGAGGCGCGAAAGCUAGGGGAGCAAACGGGAUUGGAUACCCCGGUAGUCCUAGCCGUAAACGGUGGGCACUAGGUGUUGGAGGCAUUGACCCCUCCAGUGCCGCAGCUAACGCAUUAAGUGCCCCGCCUGGGGAGUACGACCGCAAGGUUGAAACUCAAAGGAAUUGACGGGGGCUCACACAAGCGGUGGA
RNAcentral lists this ribosomal RNA (852 nucleotides) under uncultured bacterium. RNAcentral describes it as "bacterial SSU rRNA". It matches the Rfam family "Bacterial small subunit ribosomal RNA", at positions 108 to 936 of the family's 1533-position model. The record is from RNAcentral.